Long non-coding RNA from Clupea harengus (Atlantic herring), 9316 nucleotides. The record is from Ensembl. Lineage: Eukaryota; Metazoa; Chordata; Actinopteri; Clupeiformes; Clupeidae.
GGGGAGAACUGCAUAAUAAUGAUCUCAGAAAGAAAAAAUGAACACUGUUCUGGGCAAAGAAAAACAUUUACAUCAACAUACGAUCAGCAAGAGUACUACUACCUACCAAAUCACUGAAAAAUCAACAUAAAGCCCCAGUGAGAGAAAAUUUUAUUUCAUUUUUAUUAAUUAAUGCAAUAUACAGUCAAGCCAGAGAGUGAACUACAAGUGAUACAUAUUCACAUUAUGUCCUAACAAGGUUUACAGCAUAUUUUCGAGUUUAUCAUAAUAAACAAAAACAAAAAGUAAAAUACAAAUCGAAAGCUCACACGUUACAACAUCGAGAAGAAAACAAAACAUCAAGGAACUUAGCAGUGUAUUCAAAUGCAUCAAUUUGAAAAAGAAAAAAAAAAGACCUCACCAUGACAGGAAUGACAGAAAAUUCAAAUUUGGCAUGUGGUGAAAAGCUAUGAAGUUUACAGAGUUUUUGAAAAUCAGUGACAUGAACGGGAGGCUUGUAGCCAGUGGGCUGUGCAGGGAUGCCUUCACUAGAAAAAUAAAAACCCUUUGGUCACAUUGCUAUUCCAUGGCUUAUGUGUGGAUAUGGACUCACUUUCAAGAGAAUAUGUAUUUCAUAAUAAUAAAAAAUGGGGUGUCCUGGAAAGAACUUACAUUUUUUUUUUUUUUUUUUUUUUAAAGAAUGAGUUCAAUCAUGCGGCCCAGAAUUUCGAAAUCUUGUGAAUAGCUUUUUUUUUUUGUCUUGUGUUUGCUUCACGUUGGGCCACAAAACUGUAAAUGAAUGAGUUAAAAGAAAAAAAAGGAAAAAACUUCUCAGGACACUCCCUCCCUACAUUCAUAGGAGGUAGAUGAAAAGCAACAGACGUAGGGCAUUGAAUAACUAUCGCUAUGGGCAACAUAUAGCUUACACGUUGAAGGUCAUAGUGCAUCAUUAAGGCCAGAUGUCCAAAAACAGUGUUCCAACACCACAUGCAACUGGCUAAUUUAAGACAGCGGUGAGGGAGGUGAAAGGUAACAGAACAGUAGCAGAUAUAGCCCUUAGUUGGCAAUACCUGAGUCUGCAGUCACAUUUCAUCAUUCACCAAUAGGGAUAAUCUCAUCGGGAUCAAUUAUUCUAUGCCCAUUUACUGUUUGACACGUUGAGCCAUCAUACAGGAGUCGCCCAAGUGAAACGAUACGUGCAUUAGAAUGCUCUGUGAAAGUACGUCAUUGAAUUUUAUGUCAGAUGUGACCAUUUUGGGGAAAACUGAAGUUGAAAGGAAACCUUUGACCUCAACAAGUUUCAAGGUCACAUCUUUAUGCAGAGGUUUUGAUUGACAGCGCACCCUGUGUCUCGUACAAAUGCACACGCUAUUUCUAUCUGGGUUCAAAUAAAAGGGACGCGAUGAAGCUGUGCCAUUCUAGACACACACACAAAAAAAAAAAACAGGCAUUUGCACAGCCUUAUGUGUUCAACAAACCUCCCAGGAUAAAGGGAUAUUUUAAUGACUUUGGGGGAAAAAAAACAAAAAAAAAUGAAGUAUGCAAAAUUAAAAUAUAAAUGAAAUGUCAAUGCAGCAUAUAUCAGGCUUAUGAGGUACUUCAUGUCUAUAUACUUUUUUUUUCUUUAGAAAAGUUAUCCAAGUCAUAUUAUUCCUUAAAGUUCCUAUUGUAGCAGAAAAUACCUCGUUCUUUUUUAUCUUUUUCUCACUCUGCCCGACCAGAUGUGUGCAAUUUCUUUUAAAAACUGCUUAGAAAGUGCAAAAUAUAAAUACUGAUCAUUCUAUGCAGCAUGUUCUUACAAGGUUACAUGAUAAUUAACAUAGAAAUUCUUUUAUGUUGAGAGGGGGGGGGGAGUGAUCGAAAAGGCACACACAGGAGUAAGGGAGGGGAAAAAUGCAUUUCUUUCAACCUCACAUCUUGUCCAAAGAAUUUGGAUUUGAAUUUCUACACAACCUUAUCUGUACCAUUCUGCUGAGGAAAAUUCUUUGAGACGCCGAAAACCAACCAGUGCAUUGGUUUAAAAAAAAUUUAAAUAAAAAGUGUUAUUCGAUUUGUCACUUAGAAUUAUUCCCUUUAUAAAAUGCAAUUAGCCAACCAAUAUGUAUUUUUUUGAAACAGAGAACUGUCAUAGCUUAUGCAUGUUCUGCAUUUGUCCUCUGGGAGAAGACAACAGAUUUGAAAUUGACAAGCUUCACUGAUUUUAUUGCCAUAUGGUUACAAAAUGAAAUCAAGUAGAGGAUUACAACCCAAACCAGUGCUCUGUCUGACCUCUAUACACAGUUUACGACAAUGGCCUUUGCUGAUCAGAUACUGCACACGCUUUGUUGAGACUUCAUGCUGCCAUGCUGAAGAGCAAAAUCCAGAGUUUCAGAUAAUAACCAAUAAAACAUCAUCCAUUAUCAUUCAUCCAUGAUUAGCGGACAACCCAGAAUAUGGCACAUCCCUGUCAAAUCGCAUAAAUAUACCACUUUUCAAAUAUAUACCAUCGGAAACCCCAGAUAGUAUUUAUUAACCUCUGGUCCAAAGAUACAUGCCACUUUGCAUUUCCAACAAACUUCCACAGGCAUUUAGCCAACCAAUGACUUGACUUCAGGCAUUCUCUCUCAUAUCUAGCUCAUCCACUCUACACUCUUAAAAAGGUUCUUGGAACCAUUUUAGGUUCUUCAGGUCUUUUCUGCUAAAAAGGUCUUGCUAAAGCCUUUAAGUGUUUUUAUGGAGUUUUGAAGGUUCCACUUAGAUGGCUCUACUUUGAACCUUUGAGGGUUCUUUUAGAAGCCUUUGUGACAGUUCAUUGCCAAAAAUGUUGAGAAGGUUUUUCCAGAAGACACUUUAGCGUUGUAGAACUUUUUAAGGCUCCUACUCUCCAUCUCCUCUGCUUAGUGUGCAGAUCAGCACAACCAAAUGGCACCUAUACUCAUAGAAUUGUACAACCUCAGAACAGUUACUGACCCUUCAAAGGACAGCAAUGGAUCAUGGCCAGGUCAUUACACAGUUGGCAAAUGUGUCAUCCAGUCAUGGUUGAAGCUCACUGCAAUAAAUAACGGUGUUCAAAGGCAGUUUUUAAAAACAAAAUAGUUUUAAAUCGUAAGAGGACAUUCGCAUAAAACGCCAUUUCCAAUUACAAAUUUUUUGGUCCCCUGAUAUUUCUUUUUGGCCGAUAAAAUGUCCCUUAAAUUAGUCCUUAACAACAUUAAAAAAAAAAAAAAAAUGAACAAUAUUUUCUUUAAAAAACAGUAUUGGCUUGCGUUUGGUCACUAUUCUUGUUCUUUGUCAUCAUGUAGAUCAGGGGCACAUGCUAGCACCUGCCACCGUUCUGAGGUAGUGUUCCAAGUUGGUAUAAAAAGCCAGAUCAUUCUGAAGCUGUUGAGGACAGGAAAAGUGGAUUGGUUCAUUUCAGUCUUAGGUUGCCCCCCCACCCCCCCACACGCUUCCCAAUCACAGCAAUAUGGCAUUGAUUUUGAAGACUGGAGCAGUAAGUGUGUCCAUUGAAAAACUCCACUCGUUAUGGCAUAUCUGGGAACUAUGAAUGUCUAGCAACGGAAUCUGGAAUGGAAGCCUCAGAGAGCAAAGGUAAUGCUGGUUUUACCAAAGAACUUGUCAGAGAAAAAGUGAACUAUGAAAACAAGGGGUGCUGCAUAUCAGUGAAGAUCUGUCAGUUCAAGGAUACAAAGGCUUAAUAUGGAAUAAAGAAACUGCCAUGAAGGAGGGGGGGGGGAAAUAUUUAAAAAAAAAUAUCAUGAAGAUAGGGUCACUCAGCUGUAUGGUAUGUGCCAUCAUGUAGUGAGGCACACAGCCUUUACAUGCAUUCAUUAAAAUUGUGAUGGAUUAAUUGAGACAGAAAAUAAAAGUUUGAUCAAUUAAUUUGAACAAUAAAUGGUGUUUCUGAGGGAACAUCUCAUCUGUUCUCUCUAUACAGGCAAACUGCCGAAAGCAGUGGAAAUAAAAAGGGAAAAGCUUUGAGAACUAAAUGCAAUUUUUUUUGUAGCAUGUUCCAUCUAUUGCAGCUUACGUCAAGGUAUAGAUAGAACAAACUCGAACACAUAGGUCAAGAGUACAGAGUUUUUACAAUGCUAGUAUUCAAAAAUACAUUCACCAUGUUAUGCUGAUUUGAUCCUCUGGAAGGAUCAAUGAAUAAGAGCAACAUAAAGGGAGGGAUCUUUUGUAUAUUUUGCUGAUCACGGCCACUGAUUAACAAAAAAACGGCAAUAGUAAAAUUAUUGGUGGCAACCAUGAGAUCGAACUCAAAUAAAGCUGAAUGUGCAAGCCUUGCGAAAAAGGAAAAAAGAAAAGCACACACACACACACACACACACACAACACCCUGCAGCCUAAAACUUAUGGGGAAAGCAUUCAUACAAGCUAAAAUAGUCAAACUGGAGCAAUCAAUAAUAGGUUUUCCAGCUGUUUUCUGAAGAAAUAUUUAGAAGGAAAAAAUUAAAUCUAAAACAUAACUAAGCGUUAUUUGCAGAAUAAAAUGCCACUGCUCUUGAAAAUAACCCUGUUGGUAGUGUUUAAGCAAGUAAGCUAUUUUGGCCAAACAUAAAAAGGUAGGAGAGUUAUAUGAUGUAAUGAUUUUAAAACCUUCAGUGUAAAGUCUGAUACAGUCCUGAGAACACUGUAUGUGCUUACAAGUAAUCAUGGAAUUUUCAGUCACAUAAAUACAGGGCCAAACUAUAUAGUGCUGCAUUAUUUAUUCUGACGAAACCAAAAAACUAAAACAAAACAGUCUACAGCAAAAAGAGAAAUAGCUUGAGCCUUAACAGGUAUACAAAAAUAAGAUUUGAAUUACGAUUGAACAAUCUACAGUUUUUGUCGCCAACACAGCACAAUUUAUCCACAGUGCCAAUCUGUUUUAAUAAAGCACCACAAGAGUCCACCUGCCGAGUGUCUUCCAGCUUGCGCUCUAAACACACUCCAAAAUCAUUGACACAGAUAUGUUGCCAUUAACAUUUUAAUGAUUUGGCAAAUGACUGGAGGAAGGUUUGGAUGACAUCCAAUGAAAUCCAAGAGCAAUGAUUAAAAAAUUAAAUAAAAAUGUAAGAAUCUUAUAUGAUUCCAUUUUGACUGCUUCCAUCAAUGUUUCCAUUAGUACACUUUUUUUUGCAUAGGCUGUAACAAUGUAGAACUUGGCAUAAGUAGAUGUUCACGGUUCUCUCUUGUACCAAUGUUUGUCUCCGUGUCUGUGUGUGGCUAAUGUAACCCCAAGACCUUUAAAAGAAAGUCACUAAGAUGACCGCACAGCUACCCGCAUCACUUUCGCCCCCAAUUCUGAGGUAUACACUUCUAAAACACCACUGACAACACGUUUCACAACUCCAAACUUCUUCUAUAAUAGUGCAAAACAUAAUGUUUUUAUACUUUUUCAUACUUUUAAAAGGAAUUGCAUAUGCUGAGAACAUCUGGAAGUCUAAGGUGCUGGUAUCAGAAGGUAGAAAUUGUAACAUUUAAAAAGACAAAAAUCAUUGGAAAUCCUUUUUCAAGACUGGAUUGAGAAGAAAAGAAAAGACGCAAUUUCACUAACAAAUAAAACUAACAAAUGUAAGUACUGAAACAAGGUGAGUGAAUCAAAAGAAGAGAAUUACACAGGAUGUGUGUACUUGAACAAGGAGCUAAAAAGAGGGGCAAGUGUAUUCAGGGUUGGUUGUUCUGGCAUUUCUGACUUGAUUAAUACUGAAUUAUGGAGAAGUCAAUUAAAGAAGCUGGAAAAUGGCAUACAAGCUUAUAAAAAUGUAUGUGUGAUGCAUGAACAACUAUGCAUUUGUGAGGGGAAAAAAAAAAAAAAAAAAAAAAUCAGAUGAUUUGGUACACGGCACAUUUAAAAAAAUAAUAAACCCAAUGCCCUCUAAACAAGAGAUGGCCAUCUCUCCAUCAUACUAAAAUCUGCAGUGACUGCAGAAUGUGGCAAAGCACCUAAUAAAUCAAAAGCAGUCAAUUUGGCACCGGUAAGCUUAGUGAAAUGAUCAGUAACAAUGGGGGAAAUUAACGGACAACCUAGAAUCCAAAGUUAACUCAGCCAUCUCAAGCCUGCCGACAAGAGACUUCAGUUACAAUCAAAUGCACGGGUUUGUGGACCAUUCAGAGCGGGGGGGGGGGGGGGGGGAUAAUCUCCAAGGGCGACGUGAGGUGGGGUGACAUUUUACUUUCAAUCCAGUCAAAGCCAACCAAUCCAUCAUCUAAACAAGGGAACCAGCUGAGACUAGACCAAUUGAAGUUUGGUUAGACGCAAAACAUCCUCACAUCACAUCAGCCCUUUGCAAAAAAAAUGACAUUACUCAGCCCUGAUAUCAGGAGAUCAGUGAUGCAGGAUCAGUGAGCAUGACACCACCUUUGGAUAUGACGGAAAAAAGAAAGAAAGAAAGAAAAAAAAAAAACGGAGAAUUACCACUUUGUGACACCAUUGUUCAUUUUGUCUCAUGCAAUUAUGAGGAAAUGACCUGUGCUGUAAUGUUACCAUCCUAUUAGUAACAGGUAACAAGAGGUAAACACAAGGCCACUUCAACACAAUUGCACCCGAGCAAUAGCACAGCUUGGCUAUUUCCUGCCUGUGACAACACGUCAAAGAAACGGAUGGAAUAUGCCCCAUGUCCAUUGUUAUUCAAAGUGCACCCAGAUUUAUAUGUUGCGAUACCAGCGCCAAAUAAUUACGAGAAAAAAAAAAAAAAACAGCUCUCAUCAAGUAUUUGAUUAAAAUAAAUGCCCCAUAUACAAAGUCAGCUGGAUUUUGAGUCAGUUAUGGAGAAAGGGGGGGAAAUCAAUAUGACUGAUUAGGAAAAGUACAGGUUAACAAAAAUGAUCUUAAUGAUCUUAACGAAUGAAGAACCUCUUGGACCUGUCCAUUUUGAGGUUUAAGGUGACGUUACAUUAAGGGAUGAAGUACAAGUUAUUUCCCCUCUGUAUACCGAGGGGCUCUAGCACCUACACUUACAACAUCCAUUUGUGCUUCAAAAACUGUGGACAUUGAUCAUGACAAAUCUUGUUUGGCUUAGGUGGGGGGUGGGGGUGGGAACUGAUACUGUACAAAUAAUUCCCAAUUGUCUGUGUCGUCAGAAUAUAUAUAAUAUUUGCAAAUGAGGACCUAAGGCAAAUACUGCUACAAGGGUCUCCCUAUCUACAACAAUAGAAGUGUCUAAAAUUCAUACAGACAAACAUGUCACAGCUAAAAUAUCUUUGUUAAGAAUGCAUAGUUAAGAAAAAAAAUUGUUAAAAUCUGACCAAAACUAAGCCAAGUCUUCCCAGGCCAAUGAGCCAUUUUAAGAAGAGGGUGACUACAAGUACAGUUACUUGGGCAUGUUCUGUACGUUUUUUUUUUUUACUUUCUUUAAAAAGGCAUUCAAGCUUGCACGAUCAAUAGAGGACAAGCUUAAUGUAAAUGUGGACCAGUCGAUUUACUUCGAUCUACAAAAUAAAAAGACUAAAACUCCAGACCCUAGCCGUAGACGAUACUCAUUCUACUUGGGGGCAAAGUAAAUAUCAAUCUUUUGUCGCCCCUUCUUAAAGCGAGAGGAACACAAAUGCUAAAACAACACUGAAACAGAGACAGUGGCAUGAUGUUCAGGGUCUUGGCACCCAAUCUAAGCACAGUGAUGACGAGUAUUACGCCAAUUCAAGACCAAGCACAGUUUCUUUGCAAGUACACGCAAGUGGUGCCUCUAGCACCGUCUGCUAGUUCCAUAAGCUUGAUGUGAGCUGGCUAGCGGGGCCUGUUGGUACCAGCGUCCUGCAUUUCAUAUGUGCUGGGCUGGAGUCAUACGAGUCCAGUCAACCCAAAAACAAGAAACUUGAUAAACAUGGAAAUCAUGAAGCUAGAGAUGCACUCCUCUGAUAAAUCAGGCAUGAUUGGACUGGACUGCAUACAAUUCUAUGCCAACAGCAGAGCAUACCAAUAGGACUACACGCUCACCAUGUGAAUUAUUCUUAAGGACUGGCCAAUUUGCUGUAGGAAUCUAGUGUAUUUAAAAUGCAAACAAAAACAUAAGAUUAAGGUCAAACGCCCAGAUUAUCCAAAUGCUGCACUACGAGAUUGAAAGAUAAAAUUCAGGUCAAAUGUGCUCAUAUAUAUGUGUAUAUAGGAGGGGGGGGGGGGGAGUAUAAUAAAAAAAAAAAAAGAAAUUGUGACAUAUCAUCAAUAAAAGGGCAGAAUCAUCUCUGUGAUUAUCUUGGCUCAGAGCACCAUCGCUAUAAGAACAGGGAUCCAGUCCCACGUAAGCAGUUCAAAGCCUCCCUCAAGGGAGGGCCACUUCCUGAUUGUACAAACAAAUCCAAAGUGGGGGUGGGGGGGGUGGUGAGGGUAAGAGACGAAUGGAGGCCAGAUCCUUUUCGUUUAAUUUAACCACAAUCAUUUCUGAUUUGUCCUCCUCAAGCUCUGUAGAGAGCCAAAGUCUUGAUUUGUACACGUUAAAGUUUUCCUUGCCUUUUUUCGAUUCAUAGCUUAGCAGUCCACCACCAUUUCAUCAGAUGAAAUAUGUAGUAUUCAGUCUGGCAAAAAAAAAUGCCUGUUUUUGGUCACCUCACCUGAGGGGCUAAUACAGUAGGUCUAAACAGGCUGUCAAAUGAAACUAAUUGAUGAAACACACACACACACACACACACACACACAGAGAGAUUAAGUACUUAUGGCAUGCGCCGGUCGCCCUUCUCCUCAGGGGCACAUUGCUGGUUAAAGUCAUUUUCUAAACGGGAAGCAGGGAGGACCUAACCGACUUCCCCACAGCAUAGCUUCAUAGUUUAUGCCCUUUCAAGUUCAUGCCCCUUUAGUCGUCUGUGAAUGCACUGCACACGUAAGGACUGGGUCGCCAACGGUUACAAUCAAGUCAAGGUUAACCCCACCCCCACCCCGGUCCACCCAAGAUACUAGACACAGUUGUCAGUGUAAAAGGAAUUCUGGAUAGGAUUGUUCUCCUAUGUAAACAAGUUAGCCCCUACAUGUACAAAUAUAAAACAUUUACAAUACACAUAUAUAUAUAUAAAAAAAAACAAAAAAAACACGCGCACACACACAGACACGCACAAUUUAGCGAGGACCCCUUCUUUACGUGCCCCUAGAUCACAUCCGUCAGAUGCUACGAGUUUGUUUGGGUUUUUGGAAUACAUGUUGUGGCCUUUUGGGGAGCGUAACAGGGAAGUUGUACUGUUUUGUUUGCUUGUCCAUGUGGGGGUCUCAGACAUGGCACUGUGUAACCUGUUCUGAUGAAGUCCACAGUGCGGCCAGGGGGAGAGAGAUCUGGGUCUUUCUGGAUCCACCUUCCACUGCUUCCUGAUGUGCUGCUGCUGCUGCUGCCCUAAGUGCUGAUGGGGCAAAUUGAGAGAGAGGAAGGCACAGAGAGAGAGAACGAGAGAG